Molecule: ribosomal RNA, 366 nt
Filed under: uncultured bacterium
Lineage: Bacteria
Description: partial 16S ribosomal RNA
Rfam family: Bacterial small subunit ribosomal RNA
Source: RNAcentral
CCUACGGGAGUCAGCAGUGGGGAAUAUUGCACAAUGGGGGGAACCCUGAUGCAGCGACGCCGCGUGAGUGAAGAAGUAUUUCGGUAUGUAAAGCUCUAUCAGCAGGGAAGAAAAUGACGGUACCUGACUAAGAAGCCCCGGCUAACUACGUGCCAGCAGCCGCGGUAAUACGUAGGGGGCAAGCGUUAUCCGGAUUUACUUGGUGGAAAGGGAGCGCAGACGGCUGUGCAAGUCUGGAGUGAAAGGCCGGGGCCCAACCCCCGGACUGCUCUGGAAACUGGAAAGCUGGAGUGCAGGAGCGGUAAGCGGAAGUCCUAGUGUAGCGGUGAAAUGCGGAGAUAUUAAGAGGAAACCCAGUGGCGAAGG